This is a non-coding RNA of Podarcis lilfordi (Lilford's wall lizard), 78 nucleotides long. NCBI's taxonomy places the organism in Eukaryota, Metazoa, Chordata, Lepidosauria, Squamata, Lacertidae. The record is from the annotation of a GenBank genome assembly.
GCCCAGUAUCAGACAGCUCAGUUGGUAGAGCAUGAAACUCUUAAACUCAGGGUCAUGGUUCGAGACCCACAUUGGGCA